Molecule: long non-coding RNA, 86 nt
Organism: Juglans microcarpa x Juglans regia
Lineage: Eukaryota; Viridiplantae; Streptophyta; Magnoliopsida; Fagales; Juglandaceae
Exons: 3
Source: RefSeq, a predicted model, not a curated record
UUGUGUUUUUGGCGUGUGUUUACUGUUCAUACUGUUCAUUACUGUUCAUUAGCGAUAGGCGCUUUUAAGUAUAAUGAGAUAUAUAU